Molecule: long non-coding RNA, 333 nt
Organism: Micropterus dolomieu (smallmouth bass)
Lineage: Eukaryota; Metazoa; Chordata; Actinopteri; Centrarchiformes; Centrarchidae
Exons: 4
Source: RefSeq, a predicted model, not a curated record
AUUUUGCUCAAGAUGAGAGGAGUUACACUACUGUGUUUGGUGGGAUUCAUUCUGGCGGCCUCGUGGCCUGAAGGAGGCACCAUGCCGCUUUCACCUCAGAACAAGCCACCACCGCCCAAUGUGUGGCACCCUCUUGGAAAUGACGUUGGUUUUCCAGCUUUGUCAAGUGAGAGAGAUGGGGUCCAGGUGAAGAAAACAUGAAAAAAGACAAGACAGCAGACUGGCUCAACAGAUGCAGACAUGUUUGAAAUUUUAACAGAGACAGAAAUGACCAUUUAAUUAUUCUGCUAGUGUCAUUGCCUCCUUCAAAUAAACAUUAAGUCUGUUGUGUGA